CACCUCUCAUUCAUUUCUCUGAUUCUCUCUUCUCCCAUUUGCUCUCUCUUUUUUCUUUUUUCCUUUCCCAUUUUCGAUUGAUUCCCUCUUGAAAAAGAGUUUUGCAAGUCCUUAGAGCAGUAGCAUUUAGCAUCUUGGAGGCCUCUAGCUGGCAAAACAAAGCAAAAGGAAGGGGACGUACACUAGUCUAACUACGGAGAAACACCAUAAUUAUCUUCUAGUUCCUUUCUCUUUAAUUUGUUUCGAGAUUAUGAACAUGUUUACUAAUUGUUUUGAUGCUUCCGAUUUAAUUAAAAUGACAUAAACUGUGUUUGUGCUCAAUUGAUCACAUUCUGUCCGCUUAAAUUAUUGAAAUUAUGUUUUGAU
Molecule: long non-coding RNA, 366 nt
Filed under: Gossypium barbadense (sea-island cotton)
Lineage: Eukaryota; Viridiplantae; Streptophyta; Magnoliopsida; Malvales; Malvaceae
Description: long non-coding RNA (GBAR_LNC019867)
Source: RNAcentral